Molecule: long non-coding RNA, 2906 nt
Organism: Lycium barbarum (goji berry)
Lineage: Eukaryota; Viridiplantae; Streptophyta; Magnoliopsida; Solanales; Solanaceae
Exons: 3
Source: RefSeq, a predicted model, not a curated record
ACUCAAGCUAGGAGGAUCAAAAAAGAAAUACAAAGGUUUGGCAAAGAAGCUCAUGGGACGAGGAAUAAAAGGCAAAAAAAUAGAUUUGAAACAAGACCUAAAGAUGUUCAACAUGAUCCAAAUAUUUCCAAGUGAAGACCAAAUAUGAAAAGGGCUAAUUUUGAACUUUGGGAGGUGCUAAAGAGGCCUUUGGGUCGUGGAAAAAGAUAUUUAGCUUAUUUAAUUGAUGGGCCCAAGCCCAACUAAGCUUAGUUGUUUCUCUAACUAUUAAUAAUCUUUAUCUUGUCAUUAGGAGGGGAAUUUUUGAAUAGAUGAAUAUUUCAUAAGCAACCUUGUUGCUUAUGGAGACCUUUGAGGUUCUCUUUAGGGUUUUGCUCCUUUUGUUCUACUUUGAAUCAAAGCUUGGAUGUCUUUAAUGAAUAAGGAAGAAUCGCGGGAGAACAAAUAAUCAUAUUGGGCAAAACUAUAUGAAUCAUUACAAUGAAGGAUGUGGUAUAGAUAGAUAUCUGAGUUACCAAGAAAUGUUAUAGAUGAUAUCUUGAACCGCAUGGUCAUCAAAGAAAUAGCAAGGUGAGUGUCUUGUUACAAAAAUGAAAUCGUAUAUGGUCUACUCAUUCAAUCCUUGUGUUUGAUUGUCAGUACAAUGAGAAAAUAAAAUACCAAAAUCUAUUAUCAUUCUAGUCACUUUUGAAUUCAAAAACAUUGUCAGCAAAAUCCUCUUGCAACACAAUGACCUUACUAUCAAGUUUGUCCUUGACAUGUCAAGUGUUGAUUUAGACGAUUGAGACAUCCAUCAUUUGCUACGAUAUAUCUCUAACAUUUUUCUGAGUUCCUUAAAAAUUCUAUUGGAGAACUUUUAGGGUUCUCGUUAGGGCAAGUCGGUGGUCGUCUACUAGACAAAGCUGGAGAUGGAGGUCGGCCGAGCUUUCAAAAUUCUGUGCAUCAGCUUUUGCCGUUAAUUAUGCAUUUAUAGAGUCAGUGAAGAAUAACCUGUUGUUGCGACUGCAAAAUUAAUGAAUCAGUAUUAGAACCCUGCUGCUGUUGAUAAUUGGGAUACGACAAAAACAUUUUUUAUGUGUGAUUUAUUUAACCAACAUCACCCAAGUGACCCUUUGUAUGACUUGCUAUGUCUUGGCUUGAAGUCAAGAUUCUUGCACGAAGGUUGCAUUGGUACAUAUACCUACCUGGCCCAUUUUGUCCCUGUAUUUUGAAGAAUUUUUGGUACAAUUUUAGGCUGUUAGUUUUCAAGUGUUGCUCGUCAUUUUAGGGAAUUGCUCAUCCUUCGGUCUCUCAUCAAUAAUGUUUCUUGGACAUCUAUAACUUUGUUUUGAAGAUGAUAGACAAAAUGUUAGAUUUUUCAAGAAACGUCAUAGAUGAUAAACAGAAUGAUGAAACUCUCUAAAUUGAUGAGCAACUCUUGAAAAGUAACAGCCUAAAAUUGUACAAAACAUUCUUCAAAUGUAGGGACAAAAUGGGCUGAGGGGGUAUAUAUACCAAUGCAUCCAUUGUGCAAGAAUCUUAGCUUCAAUUCAAGACAUAGCAGACUAUUCAAAGGGUCACUGGGUUAAAGGAACUGCCUAAAAAAAUAUUUUUGUCAUAACCCAUUUAUCAACAGCAACAGGGUUCUACUACUGACUCAUCAAUUUCCCAGUCGCAACAACAGGUUGUUUCUACAGCACGAUUGGACACUGACAUAAAUGCAUAAUUAAUGGCAAAAGCUGAUGCACAGAAUUUUGAAAGCCCCACCGCGCAGCCUUCAUCUCCAGCUUCGUCUAGCAGAUGACCACCGACCCACCCUAGCUUGAACUCUAGAAGUUCUACAAUAGAAUUUUUAAGGAGCACAAUAAAAUAUUGGAGACUUAUCGUAGCCAAUGAUAGAUGUUCGAUCGUCUAAAUCAUCACCUAAUAUGUCAAGGACAAACUUGAUAAUAGGAUCAUUGUGUUGCAAGAGAAUCUUGUUGACAAUGUUUUUGAAGUCAUCAAUAACUGAGGAUGAUGAUAGAUUUUAGUAAUUUAUUUUCUCAUGGAAUUGGCUAUCAAGCACAGGGAUUGGAUGUGUAAAUCAUAUAUGGUUUCAUUUUUGUGACAAGACACUCAUCCUUGAUGGCCAUGCGGUUCAAAAUAUUAUCUUUAAUGUUUUGUGGUAACUCGGAUAUUCUAUCUAUACCACGUUCUUCAUUACAACGAUUCACAUAGUCUAGUUCAAAGAAGCACCAGAGACCUAAAGACAAGCUAUAAGCCGAUGAUUCUACGCCAGAUCAUGCGUUCCGGGCUUGAACUUUUGGGUUCGGGCGUUAAAUCCUUGGAGAAUGCCAUGGAAUUCAGCUUGUAUUGACCAAGGGUCGGACCUAUGGCCGAGCCGGGCUUUGCUACUCCAGCAUCGAUGGUGAAAUCGGCAUGAUUGGGUUAUGGAAAUUGGGCUCAGAAAAAGUGGGAGUCAGUUGGGUGUGAAUUGUGAUUAAGUUGUGUUGGUUAAGCCUAGUCCCGUUAUGUUAGUUCAGUGGGUUUCACUUGCGAAUAGAGUUUUGAGGGUUUGAGCCCAAAUUUCAAUUAAGGACCGGUAUUUAACUUUUCUCCAUGCUAUUCAUUAAAAUAUCUUGUUGUAUUGAAAAUUCAGUGGUUAUUUGUGAUUGGUUUGGAUUGAUUAGGUUAAAGAAAUUUGAGAGCUAUCGAGUUUUGAGGUCCGACUUGAAUCUAACCAUUGAGAAAUGUUGAGAUUGGUGUUAGGAUGUUAGAUUAUAAAAUUUGGAGUCACUUGGAGUUGAUUUGGUCCGAUUUGGAUCAAUUUUGGAGCAAAAAAGUGUGGUGAAAUUUCUCAAGAACCUCCAAUGUUCUGCCCAACCCUGUCAACAAUUUAUUUCAAUGUUAUGACCCAAUUUAUAUGAGAUACUGGUGAUUUACUAGGA